This 133-nucleotide small nucleolar RNA is filed under the name Myotis davidii. RNAcentral describes it as "Small Cajal body specific RNA 24". It matches the Rfam family "Small Cajal body specific RNA 24". Rfam says of the family: scaRNAs are a specific class of small nuclear RNAs which localise to the Cajal bodies and guide the modification of RNA polymerase II transcribed spliceosomal RNAs U1, U2, U4, U5 and U12. ACA12 belongs to the H/ACA box class of guide RNAs as it has the predicted hairpin-hinge-hairpin-tail structure,the conserved H/ACA-box motifs and is found associated with GAR1. The record is from Rfam by way of RNAcentral. Lineage: Eukaryota; Metazoa; Chordata; Mammalia; Chiroptera; Vespertilionidae.
UGGACAUUUACUUCAGCCAGUUUCUUCUUAAGGUGAAGAAAACUCUUUGUAAAUGUCCUAGAGAAAUAUAGUAUUUUUCUUUCUGUUCACCCUUUGCAAGUGGAAAGGGUGGAUCAUUCCUCUACUGACAUAU